RNAcentral lists this transfer RNA (74 nucleotides) under Acidobacteriota bacterium. RNAcentral describes it as "Acidobacteria bacterium (sponge metagenome) tRNA-Pro". It matches the Rfam family "tRNA". Rfam says of the family: Transfer RNA (tRNA) molecules are approximately 80 nucleotides in length. Their secondary structure includes four short double-helical elements and three loops (D, anti-codon, and T loops). The record is from RNAcentral. Lineage: Bacteria; Pseudomonadati; Acidobacteriota.
CGGGCCGUAGCGCAGCUUGGUAGCGCGCUCCGUUCGGGACGGAGAGGUCGGAGGUUCAAAUCCUCUCGGCCCGA